UACGAAGGGGGCUAGCGUUGCUCGGAAUCACUGGGCGUAAAGCGCACGUAGGCGGCUUGCUAAGUCAGGGGUGAAAUCCUGGAGCUCAACUCCAGAACUGCCUUUGAUACUGGCGAUCUUGAGUCCGGGAGAGGUGAGUGGAACUGCGAGUGUAGAGGUGAAAUUCGUAGAUAUUCGCAAGAACACCAGUGGCGAAGGCGGCUCACUGGCCCGGUACUGACGCUGAGGUGCGAAAGCGUGGGGAGCAAACAGG
Molecule: ribosomal RNA, 253 nt
Filed under: uncultured bacterium
Lineage: Bacteria
Description: partial 16S ribosomal RNA
Rfam family: Bacterial small subunit ribosomal RNA
Source: RNAcentral